RNAcentral lists this ribosomal RNA (164 nucleotides) under uncultured bacterium. RNAcentral's name for it is "partial 16S ribosomal RNA". It matches the Rfam family "Bacterial small subunit ribosomal RNA", at positions 1335 to 1500 of the family's 1533-position model. The record is from RNAcentral.
CUAGUAAUGGCAGGUCAGCACACUGCCGUGAAUACGUUCCCGGGCCCUGUACACACCGCCCGUCACACCAUGAGAGUUGGGAAUACCCGAAGCCUGUGAGCUAACGUAAGAGGCAGCAGUCGAAGGUAGAAUCAAUGAUUGGGGUGAAGUCGUAACAAGGUAGC